ACAGAAAAUAACUUCAUUCUGCAAUUGAAAGAAUCACAGCAAGCUCUCAUUGUAUCAAGGCAAACUGGCGGUCAUACUCUUCUCUAAAUGAGCCAACACUCCCUAGGAGACCUCAGUAGAACUCCCUCUUCUCUGCUGGAAAGGUUUUGCCUCCCCAGGACCCAUCCCUCACCAUCCAUGCAUGACAUUCUGGCCUCAAGUAUCCACUCCUCAAAGCGCAACAAAAUAACUGAAUGGAAGAUUACAUUUCCCAGUCUUUGCUUGCAGUGAGAUACAAGCAGAAGCCAUCAGGAAAAGAAAUUGGAGAGAUUCGCCUUGAAAAUAAGCCUUCAUAUUAGUGACUUCCUUCUUUUAAAGGACAUCGAACAAGUUUUAGAUGGGAUCUCUCUAUGUUGUCCAGGCUGGUCUCAAAUUCUUGGGCUCAAGAGAUCCUCGUGCCUCAGCCUCCCAAAGUGCUGAGAUGGUUAUACCAGGUGAGAUGUGAGUCACCAAACCCAGCCACCAAUGACUUUUAAAUUGUAGACUUCAAAAUAAUUGUUCAUCAACUUUGGUCAUUUAUAACAAGUACACACUUAUUUCUUGAAAUUCUCUCCACUGUUCACAACAGCAAAGACUUGGAACCAACCCAAAUACCCAUCAAUGAUAGACUGGAUAAAGAA
This 659-nucleotide long non-coding RNA is filed under the name Homo sapiens (human). RNAcentral describes it as "HSALNT0301940". The record is from RNAcentral. Lineage: Eukaryota; Metazoa; Chordata; Mammalia; Primates; Hominidae.